AUUGAACGCUGGCGGCAUGCUUUACACAUGCAAGUCGAACGGUAACAGGCCGCAAGGUGCUGACGAGUGGCGAACGGGUGAGUAAUGCAUCGGAACGUGCCCAGUCGUGGGGGAUAACUACUCGAAAGAGUAGCUAAUACCGCAUACGAUCUAUGGAUGAAAGCGGGGGACCGUAAGGCCUCGCGCGAUUGGAGCGGCCGAUGUCAGAUUAGGUAGUUGGUGGGGUAAAGGCUCACCAAGCCAACGAUCUGUAGCUGGUCUGAGAGGACGACCAGCCACACUGGGACUGAGACACGGCCCAGACUCCUACGGGAGGCAGCAGUGGGGAAUUUUGGACAAUGGGCGCAAGCCUGAUCCAGCAAUGCCGCGUGCAGGAAGAAGGCCUUCGGGUUGUAAACUGCUUUUGUACAGAACGAAACGGCUCUGGUUAAUACCCGGGGCUAAUGACGGUACCGUAAGAAUAAGCACCGGCUAACUACGUG
RNAcentral lists this ribosomal RNA (482 nucleotides) under uncultured bacterium. RNAcentral describes it as "partial 16S ribosomal RNA". It matches the Rfam family "Bacterial small subunit ribosomal RNA", at positions 30 to 507 of the family's 1533-position model. The record is from RNAcentral.